This 253-nucleotide ribosomal RNA is filed under the name uncultured bacterium. Its description in RNAcentral is "partial 16S ribosomal RNA". It matches the Rfam family "Bacterial small subunit ribosomal RNA", at positions 524 to 776 of the family's 1533-position model. The record is from RNAcentral.
UACGGGGGGGGCAAGCGUUGUUCGGAAUUACUGGGCGUAAAGGGUUUGUAGGUGGCCCGCUAAGUCACACGUGAAAUCCCUCAGCUUAACUGGGGAACUGCGUCUGAGACUGGUGAGCUUGAGUGCAGGAGAGGAACGCGGAAUUCCAGGUGUAGCGGUGAAAUGCGUAGAUAUCUGGAGGAACACCGGUGGCGAAGGCGGCGUUCUGGACUGCUACUGACACUGAGGAACGAAAGCCAGGGGAGCAAACGGG